Molecule: non-coding RNA, 3790 nt
Organism: Lolium perenne
Lineage: Eukaryota; Viridiplantae; Streptophyta; Magnoliopsida; Poales; Poaceae
Source: RefSeq, a predicted model, not a curated record
UCUCCACAGUCUGACGGAAAACGCGUCGCUCUUGUUUCUCUCACACAGCCCUGGCAUCCUCCGAAACCCUACCCUCUCGCGUCACAUUUUUUGGCGGCGGCGGUGGCUCCCCACGCGCCCCUCUUCCCCGCGUUCUCACAAAGCCUCUCCAGGCCACCAGCGGAUCGGAAUCUCUCCAAUACAUGGCAUCUCUCCCCUCGAAGAAACCCUAGAUGUGGUCACGGUCUGAUGCGGGAGGUGCUACGCCCGCCAUGGUCAUUGACGGACGGAGCUCUAGAGGCAGCGGUAGCUCGACAUCGACGGCGACGGCGACGGCGGCCGGACAGGGAAGAAGGACGUGACCGAACUUAGAGAACGACCGGCAGAGAGAACAUGCUCCAUCCCAUGACCCGCGCCGCUGCUCCAACCACUGCUUCGGCAGCUGCUGCUGGUUCAUCUACUUGCCCGGGCCGCUGCAGCUCCAACCCAUGAAAACAAGUUACGGCGAAGUCAAAGAAUACGGAGAAAGAAAAAUCAGAGAAGGAGGCAUCAUUGCAGUUACUGCAGGUGGAGCAAGGAGGAACAAUCAGCAGAUCUAGCAUUUAUUUUGCUUAAGCUACAGGUUAUUGUUAUAAUAAACAGUGUGCCUUCAUUCAAUAGGCUAUCAUGGAGCUCUUAUUGGGCAUGGUACAAUAGCCUAUUUGCAGUUGUCUGGGUUGAUGCAUUUGAAAAUUGGUAUCCAAAACUUGCUUCAUGUAUUUGCAGUUGUAGCUAGAUGAUGACAAAUUGGAUCCUCAACAACACCCCAUUGUAUAGAGGUUUUUUCACGGCAAGAGCAUUUGUGUAUUUUGAAAUGCUUGGUCAUGACCUGUAAGCAUCUUCCAUCAGGCAUGUAUUCACUAAUACUUCUACAACUAUUCCCUUUGUUAGUUGAAUAAUGAGUAACGUGGUAACUUAAACUCCCACUUUAUAGGUAUGUGCUAGAGAAAGAAUGGCUUCACAAGUUUACGACAAAACUUUGACAUGUUAGGUCUCAUUUCCAGAUGAUGUUAAAUUUCGUAUGUAUAUGUCACCAACUUACGAUAUUAUAUCCAUGGCGCACUCUGUUUAGAUAUUAGUGUAUUGGUUGUCCAUGAAGAUGUUGGCAUUGUUCACAGAAGCUAAAACCAAAAUUAUCCCGUGAUUCCAAAGUCAGUUUCUUCCCCUCAAAAUAAGCACUUGCUAUGAUUACCAUUAGUAUGCUAUUACUUCUGGCCAUGGUUAUGCUUGAUGGGUGAGGUGCUCAUCAUUUAUUUGGUUUUAAUUGGUUGUAACAAUCAGUCGAUGGCAUUAUGCAUCACCAUCAUGUUUCUGGCUUAUUGAAAUAUGCUUCAUGUAGUUAUCAUUGUUCCUAUAAUUGCUCUUGAUUUCUUGAACCAUCAUGUUCUGGUGUGGUACUGGUAUGUUCGUGUUUGCCCAUAACACAUAGUUUCCUUCGUGUGGGAUUUUCCUCUAUUACCACUUGCCAUUUCUCAUAGAAAGAAAUUCAAGGUUGAUGCAUUCCGUGUCAAUUAAGCACCAUCUUUUCCUCUUUUUGAGAUAAUUGGCUUGUUUGGUAGUCCUACUCUUGAGCGCUACUGAUGGUUAGAAGUGAUCUGUACAUACAAAAUGGUUAGGUAAAUAUCGUGUUGUUGGUUAGAAUCAUGGGCAUAUGAAUCAAAAUUAAUUGUUGUUUCGGAAAUGAUACUUCAUUUUAUCAUAUAUGGUGACCCUUUUUACGAGAUUAUGUUGAUCCUUUGGUUGGGGUAGUUUCUUCGGUUCCCUGUGGUUCAGCCAGUCUGCAACAGUGUUGACCAUGGCUACAAUAGCUGAAGGGUCUUAUUAUCUAAAUAUGGCUUUCAAAAAAAUCCUGUAGACUUCUUGGGCAAUUUUUUUUUUGGCAGCUUGAGUUGUUCCAGGCUGCGGGGUUUCUCAUGGCUUACUUGUAGCUACAAUUUUGCUCCAUCGUGUUGUAUGACUUAAGUUGGACGCUUAGCCUGGUUACCAUUUUGUUUGUGCACCAAAUUGUAGCUCCAUUUUGGUCUUCUUGUAUCUUGAAUGACUGACAAACUUAUAUCCGGCAGAUAUAUGCACUUGACAGUGUAAGCUGAGAUCUUACCAGUCGCUUUUUUGGAUUAUUAGUUUUUUUCAGUGCUAAGAUUACGUACUAAAUAUCGCUAGCGUUUUCUCUUCUCAAGUUACAUAUAUAGUUGAAUAUAGAGGUGGUUAUUCUGCAGAUCAGCAACAUAGUGGUUCUUCAUGAAUAUGAGUUUCCCAGAAGCAGUGUGAAUUAACUACUGGUGUCGUAGCAUUUUGUGUAGGAUUAUAGGUACAAUGGUUCAUGUUCUACAUAAAUUAGGAUUUUGUGUAGCAUUUUUUCAUAUUGUUCAUGAAUAUGAGUUUCUCACAAGCAGGGUGAGUUCCUCACAAUGCCCACUGGUUCCAUACUUCGUAUUUCCUGUCUCCAUCAAAUUUAUGUAUAUCUUUCUCUGAGUUCAAUCUCUGUUUGCCUAUAUUGUUGACUUUAUAGCUACAGUAUACAUACAUGAUUGUGCAGUUUUACCUAUUUAAUAUAUUAUUGGAAAUCAUGGAUCUAAAUAAAGGUUACAUUGGCGAUUGAUCAUUUGUAGAAUGCUUCCACUGAGAUAUGUGACUAGAUAUUUACUUGUGGUUUUGUUGCUAAUGCUAAGUAAUCGACAUAACAAACUUGCAUCCAUUCUUCAGUUGGAUAGGCCGGAAGGUUGGAAAGUGUGAUUGGAUGGUAUCAUUCACACCUUCGUUAUGGAUGAUGGUUGGCAUACAUGCUGGACGACAGUCGGAGCGAGGCAAACUGCAUACUGGAAAACAGCCGGAGCAAGGCCUCGAGGACUAGGCCAACUGCCAUGGACUACAAUCAGGGCAGCGCCGCCGCCAAGCAGCCACUGACACACAAUUGCCUGCGAAGCAUGAGAUAUUUAAGCUAACAAAUGGUUAAUUGGUUUCAGCGCAUAGGGUGGCCAUUGGUGAGGGCAUACAGGAGGAACACCUUCCAAGCAACAGUAGCAGUCAAGAAGGGUGAGAAGCUAUUUCUGAAGGUGAGGAUUGAUGGGGUGCCAUACAUUAGUAAGGUCACCCUCCGGAUGUACAAGGGGUAUUUGGAGUUUAGAGAGGCGCUAGAUUUGCUCUUCUCUGCCCAGUCCUUCUGACCAGCUCGCCGUUGCUUGCUUGUGGAAAAUGUGUCAUGUGAGUAAAUACCAUAUCUCCCCCAUCUUGUCCUGCUUGAGUGCUCAGUGAUAUUUCCGCUUAUUAUAGUCUUGAAUGGAUGUAUUAUUUUCACCUGAUCUCUGAACUGUAGAUUGUUAAUGCACUUCUUUGGAGAGAGGAAACUGUUGCUUCUGUUGGUUAAUUUAUAAGCUUUACAUCUUUCAUGUUGGUCGUUUUACAUGUAUUGACAAGUUGAUGAGAUUUGGAGACAUGAGCUCUAUAAGAACUCUGUAGGAACUCAAAGUCCAUGGUUAAGCUGUAAUUGCUUCCAGAAAUCUUCAAUCAAUUCAAAAAUCACAUUCGAAGCAAAGGACCAAGGUCACUUGAUGACUCCCAUCAGAUAAAGUCAAGAUAUUGAGCUAAGGAUCGAACCAUGCAUUGGUCAAAUUCCCUAAUAUUUGUUCAGAUUGUAUGAUUGUGUGGAUCUACCAUUUGUAAUAAUGUAUUAUAUUCCACAUCGGUGGGACUACCUUCUUACAAGUAUGCGAGCUGCAUGUAUUCUCUGAUGUAAUCUUGGAUCCUAUAUAAAUGCAAUUACAACUAUUUUUUA